This 435-nucleotide ribosomal RNA is filed under the name uncultured bacterium. RNAcentral describes it as "partial 16S ribosomal RNA". It matches the Rfam family "Bacterial small subunit ribosomal RNA", at positions 29 to 507 of the family's 1533-position model. The record is from RNAcentral.
AGCGAACGCUGGCGGCAGGCUUAACACAUGCAAGUCGAGCGGGCACUUUCGGGUGUCAGCGGCGGACGGGUGAGUAACGCGUGGGAACGUGCCCUCUGGUUCGGAAUAACUCAGGGAAACUUGAGCUAAUACCGGAUACGCCCUUUUGGGGAAAGGCUUGCUGCCGGAGGAUCGGCCCGCGUCUGAUUAGCUAGUUGGUGAGGUAACGGCUCACCAAGGCGACGAUCAGUAGCUGGUCUGAGAGGAUGCUCAGCCACACUGGGACUGAGACACGGCCCAGACUCCUACGGGAGGCAGCAGUGGGGAAUAUUGGACAAUGGGCGCAAGCCUGAUCCAGCCAUGCCGCGUGAGUGAUGAAGGCCUUAGGGUUGUAAAUCUCUUUUAUCCGGGACGAUAAUGACGGUACCGGAGGAAUAAGCCCCGGCUAACUUCGUG